UGGGACAGGCCAGAUCCUUGCCUGUGUCCCUGGAGCCCUGUGUUCCAGGGCCUGCGCUGUUGGAUUCGCACUCCUGGCUGCGUAGCACCCU
Molecule: microRNA precursor, 91 nt
Filed under: Canis lupus familiaris (dog)
Lineage: Eukaryota; Metazoa; Chordata; Mammalia; Carnivora; Canidae
Also listed under: 1 other name
Description: mir-8799 microRNA precursor family
Rfam family: mir-8799 microRNA precursor family
Source: Rfam by way of RNAcentral